Hippoglossus stenolepis (Pacific halibut) is the source of this 6159-nucleotide long non-coding RNA. RefSeq lists it as uncharacterized. Lineage: Eukaryota; Metazoa; Chordata; Actinopteri; Pleuronectiformes; Pleuronectidae. The transcript has 3 exons. The record is from RefSeq and is a predicted model, not a curated record.
ACACUGAAAGCUGGAAGCUCUGGCAGACGACAGCACAUGCCAUCUGCUGCUGUGCACCUCAUAAGUGUUGUAUACAAACACAUAUCGCCUCCCUCCGCGCACGUUAGCCCCCCCACCCUCCCCAGCGCCAAAUGCACAUCAAAGUCGACUGUAGCCGGAGGUGGAAACUAAUGUCUGCUCAGGAAGACAAAUUUGGGAUCUGAGCUGACAUUAGGAAAGAUAUUAGAGCUGACGCACGGCAUCUGGGAGAGAGGCUCAAGGACAAAAUCAUAUCACCUGUACAUGUCAGGAUAUACAUGCAUACGCACGGCCACAUUUUUAAGGCAUGGGAAUCAAACAUCCAUCCCUCCAUUAUCUGUACACCCUAGACAGGCCGGCAGCACAUUGCAGGGUCUCCAAUUAGCCUAAUACUAGUCUACAUGUCUUUGGAAAGGAGACAAUUGUGGUCCAUUACCAGGAUGAAGAUAUAAGAACAGAAUAAGAGCCACUAUAUCACUGCAGUAUACAUGCAGUCGUGAGACACUCUGCAGAAAGUGCAAAAGAAAAGAAGUGAAAUGAUUUUCUCCGAUUAUUUCUCGACUCUUCCACAAAACUUUUUCAUCCCACUUCAGCUGGAGCUCUAGUUGUCAUAGCAACACUUCAGGCGUAUAGUCACAUCCCAGGUCAAACUUUCUGUGCGAUCCCUCCCUGGCCUGUGCCGAUCUUAUUCAAGCAGCCAUCAUCUAAUUGUCUUAGCUUAUUAUUUUAUUCCGGUCUGUUGGUUUUUCUUCUCUCUUCCCCUCUCUUUGCUGUUUUAGGACAAGAUUUGCUCAGUGUUUCAGUUUCUCUCUGCCCCGGCAUGUUCGUACUUUAAUAUUUAUGACAUAAUGCAUUUCCCAGCCCCUUGUAGCCCAAUCUCGGAGGCUAUUGAGGAUCAGCUGAUGAUGAAUCAGCCUCUGGGGUCAACGGCGAACAUUUUGGGGCUUCUGGUGUAGAGAGCAGAUAUCCAGGCCAAGACUCUAUCUUUCAUUGGCCGUACACUGUUUACAACGAACGUUUCCCCUUACAAAACACAAACAACAAUACUUUUUGUAGGUGUUUUAGGUCCAGAUCACAUAAGUAAUUCUGCUUCUUUUGCUCUCCACGUGGACUGUUUACCAGCGGGCGACCAAAGCCUGCUCAAACAUGAGUGGUUAAACUAUAAAUUGACACAAAAUCCCGUCCCUCAUCUACAGAUGCUGCAUAUUCACAUGCAUAAUCUACUUAUAGAGGCCGCUUACACCCACAUCAACAUCAAAACUAAAUGCCUGACCCUUACCCUGACCUAAGGCUUAUUCUAACAUGGCCCAUAAACCAAGACUUAACCUUUAAACAGCUCGUUGAGUGUGUCAGAAGUUGAGGACUUAAAGGUACACAAACACUCACACACACAGGCCUUGAUUAGAUGAGAGCUGCACGUGAGGAUUUCCACUGAAGUCUGCUUAGAAGCGUUUUCUUCGCAGCCAGCGCACACACAUGUAAAGUAAACACACACAUUUAUCCUCACAACCACAUGCACUCCUGCCUGACAAAGGCCCAUCUGUGGCAGACGUCAUUUAUCUUGCUUUCUACCUGUUGAUUACUAAUCAUCCCGUCUCCAAACAAAACUGAAAGGACAAAUUAUGCACCCGUGCAGCCCAGCUUCCCUUCCACACGGCGGCUUUUAUGUUCAAACAAGCCCCCUGCUCUCUUAUCGUGAGAAAUGUUUUCGACUCAUAUGGUAAUACGGCGGCGGGGAAAAUAGGUUUAUGGCUCUCCUGCCAUUCACACACACACAGAGGGAGCCUCUCCAUAACAAAUGAUAAAAGCAUUGAUUAAUAUUCAUACUCUCUCGCAGCGGAGGAGAGGCACAAACUGUGGAGAAAGGAACCUGACUGCAAUCUAAAAAUAGUUAGAGCGUAACUUCUCUCUCUCGUUCUCUGUCUCCCUGACAGGCUCAGGCUUUUCCUUCCAUUUCAAGCACUGAACACUUAUGUAAUGUUUCCCUUUGAAAUAAGGUCAGACACCUAAGCCUUUUAAGAUACAUUAAUGUGGGUGAGAAGGAGCCACUGCAACACCUCAGUGGUCUCUGUACACUGAUGUUCUCACCAUGAACAAUGCUUGACCAAGUCCCAGUUUGAAGAGUAGGUUGGACGAACAUCAGUGAUUAAUCAGAAAUGGAUUGUAAACAUAUACAAUUCAAUACAACUGUGGAACGGUCUUCAGGAAAACGAUGACCGACCAUGGAAACUAUCUGAUGUGCAUAUUUCUCAACCACCCCGAGGACCCUCUGUUCUAAACUAGGUUCUUGGUGUGGGACUUAGGGCCGGCCAUUAGUCAGAUGCUACAAAUGCUAAGAUGGUAACAAACAGGGAGAGCUGGUCUGGGGUUUCUGUGUUUGUGUGUGUGUGUGUUAGGGGGGGUUAUAGUUAACUGAAAAAUAGACAGUCGAUUAGUUUGUGCAAAAGGUUGCUUAAGGUUUUUUUUUAAUUGAAGUAGCUGUUGUCUUUCUGUCUGUCUGUCUGUCUGUUGAGUUACGAACCGAUUUCCAAGAAAUUUUCUGAAGCAACACGUUACUUUUUGGUGCGAAUCUGGUUAAACUGGUGGAUCCAGGAAUAGUUUCUUUAACAGGUUGAGCCAGGACUUUAGCCUUUGGUAGAGGUAUGCGCUCUCUGAGUGCCCAUUGAGUUAUGAUUAAUUAUUAUAUCUUGAUUGACUUAUUGAUAAAAGCUACUUUUAAUGUGAACAAUCAUCAACCAAGUCAUUUCCUUUUAUAUAGUGAACCUUGAUGUAAAGAUUGUGGGUUUAAAAUCAUGCAGAAAUAAUUGUAGUGUAUAGAUAUACACAUAAAAAACAUUGAACGCUCUUUGAAGAGAUACAUCUAUAGUCCCAAACAUGUGUCUAGCAUCUUACAUUCAGCUUUAACUUUAUUCAUAGAUGGAUUUUAUCAGAUUUAUAUGUUUUUAUCACGUCAAUGUAUUAAAUGACUGCAUGUGUGACAAUCUAAAUGCUGUUAAAGCAAAAUUAUUACCUGAAUCUGCUUUUCCCUUCUGCUUUACACUGAGUUUCAGGUCAUUGUUUUCGUUCUGUGGCCCUAAACUGUUCUGUUCGGUUCCCUCCCACUGAUAGUAGGUCAUAGUCUGGUUUAUAGCAGCACCGUGCAUCUGCACACUACGGCAUGCAGACACAGGUAGUGAUGGAUUUGAUAAAGGGAAUCAUCAGGGGUAUUUUACCUGCAUUCUUAAGUAAAGAAGUUUGACAUAUUCAGCAUCGCUGCUUCUGACUCACUUGUCUCCACAGAGAACAACGUGAAACUGACCUCAGAGCAGCGGCUCAAACAUCAAACCAUCCGUCAAACCAACGUUUCCCCUGUCAGCAGUCUCACACUCCCUCCAGUGUCUGCAGUGCUGUAUAGCACUUCAGCAGAGACCCGCAUCCAUUGGCCCCUCUGGUGCCACAGCAAGGCGGGGGGGGGGCUGUGAAGUCAUUGUGGCCGUGAGCAGGACGAGUGCUAUUUACAGUGCCUGUUUAGAAAUGAGAUCUGUGUCAAUGAGAGAGGCCUGGUAUAUUUUCCACAUGAACAACAACAGGUUGGUGUCUGGUUCAAACUUCUCUGGAGCACAUGAGCUGAGAAAAUAGAUGUUUGAUAUGUUCAUUCUGAGCAUAUAAGGCUAUAAUCGUACAGCAUGUCCAUUGGUCUUAUUUUUGUAUGUAAAUGUAUAUUUUCUAAUAAAUGUUUAUUACUUAUUAAUUUAUUACACAGUGAAAGAAGAGUUGACUUGAUGCAUGUGCUCAGGAGCAGCACUGGACUUUGUUUCACUUUGUGGUCACAUCAGAACUACAGGUUAUUUGAUGCCUGAGGAGUUUAUGUCUACAGGCAAUAUAUACGUCAUUUAUAUAGAAACAUUACUUUAUUAUUAAUCACAAAAACAUUACUUCACUUAUGUAAUAACAGCUUGAAAGCCUCCAAACCCUCUUGGUUCACAUUCUGGAUUUAAAGCUUGUAGAAAAAGAAAAACACAAGAUUUAACAAGGAGCCUGUUUGAAGGUAUUUUUGGUCAAUCAAGAGCCAACUUAAAGCAACACUUUCACUAAGCAACAGCGCCCUCUGCAGCCACACAUGGUGAUUCAUUCUUUUGGACUCCGUGUCUGAUUUCUAUAUUUUUGGGCAUUUCGUCUUUAUUGAUAGGACGGCGAAAAUGUGCAAUGGUGAGCGAGAGCGGGGAAGACACGCAGCAAAGGGUCGGAACCGAACCUGCGGCUGCUGCAGGAAGGCUAAGAAAACAAGGCCUAUCAAUCUCUUGACCUCAAUUACAACACAACUGAACACUUUCCUCUUGACCACUUGAAGUCCCAUCCUCACAGGGAAGUCCAACUCUGAACAAAGCAGUUACAGGUGAUGGGGAUGAGUCACAUCUACAGUCACUGAGAGCAGCUGACCUACGCUGCUGGGUCACAUUAGGAUGAAGGUCCUCGUCCCCAUAAACAGAAACAGCAUGAACUCUGCGUAACUCUCUGUGAUGCUGGUUUGGGAUUAGAACAUUUUGUCCCGAGCAUCCCCACCCCCUCCCCCCGUCUCUUUUUUUUUUUGGCCACUCCCCGCCCUCGCUUCCUCUCUCUCUCUCCGGUGUCUGUUUGGAUUUUUGAAAUUCUAUGUUAUGCUCUCUCUCUCUAUCAUUCCCCUUUAAAAGAAGAGAGACUGAAACUAACACUUGAACACACACAACAAUUUAAAACUAACAGACAAUUUAGGUGUAGGUGUGUAAGAUACACAUAUUUUACUUGAUGCAUACAUACUCCUGUGUAUUUAUGUGUGGGAGCUUGUGAAUAUGUGUAUUAAUAUGUCUCACGUUGGAUGAAGACUAGUUUUUAACGACACAUUCAAAUGGAGCAGAUGCAAAAAACAAUCUGAAUUUGUGGGAGUGAUCUCAACAGACUGAGAGAAUUCAGUAACGGUUUCCACAGUCGUUUGUUUUAAGUGCAGUUCUGCCUGUAUUUCCUGUACUGAUUAUCAGUGGUGGGAAUUCAUACAAGCCUUAAGGAAAUCAUACCGCGUUUGCGUUCAGUUGCAUGUCAAGGCAUGUGUAACUGCAUGUUGACAUUUAAAGAGAUAUUUUUAGUUCCAGCCUCGUCAAUGCAAGAAACUGUCAUCUGUCAUGUUUAUUAUUCGUGCUAAAGAGGGUGUGGACAAUGUUAUAAAUGAAUGGUUGUUAUGGAACUGCCACAUUUUUUGUCCUUCCUCCUCCUCAUAGAUAAAUACCUUCCUAUUAACCUACCUACUGACCUACUGACCCGCCAACCUACCCAGUUAGGAAGGCUACUUCAUUAAAGAUCACCCCCUCAGGUCACCGUCUCAAGGUGCCUGUUAUGAGAAACAAGAGAUAUAAGGUUUCCUUCGUCCCGAUUGCCAUUCACAUGGUAAACUAUAUGUCCUGAUGUCUCUAUCGGUUGUCCACCAAUGUGUUAGUGUUUUAUGUGUGUGGGCGUUUUGUUUACAGUUUGUGGUUUUGUCUGUUUGUACGAUCCUGGCUGCAAAUCGAUUUAUACAUUGAACUUUGAACCUCCUAACACCUGAUCUCCUCCCUACCCACCUACACAGAUAUCCUAACUACCUACCUUCCCACCUGCGCAGCUAUCUUACCUCCUUACCUACCUACCUAUGCAGCUGUAUUUAUCCAGAUGUAAAGCAGUAGGUAUAGAUGUAACAGAGAGACAUGUGGUAACAGUGUCCUAGUUUCCCCUACAUUGAGAAGGUACUAUUUUUAGAAAGCAGGAAGAUAAAGGGGGAAACAGAUUCCCUGGGAGUUGACAGCAGCAGCUUCCUUUUCUGGACAAUUUACAACCUCUUAUGCUACGAUGACCUUUCCCUCUUCAUCGUUCACUCAUGGAAGUCCUCCCUCUGUCCACUUCUCCUUUGUACUGUGCCCUUACCUUUCUCGGUUUCCCCUCUCGACACUUUGUCCUUCUCCUGCACUUUGUUCUCUUCUCUCCUGCUUUCAUUUUUCCUCUUGAUUUAUGUCUCAUCUCCUUCAUACUGUGUCCUGCUUGCAAGCAUACAGACCUUAUGUUCCCCAAUCAUCUUCCUUCACCUGUCCUCCAUACGAGGAGUGUAAUACAGCAAUGGUGAUGUUGUGUGUAAGAUUUAAAGAAGAAAAUCAGUCA